Molecule: non-coding RNA, 8556 nt
Organism: Cordylochernes scorpioides
Lineage: Eukaryota; Metazoa; Arthropoda; Arachnida; Pseudoscorpiones; Chernetidae
Source: the annotation of a GenBank genome assembly
CUGUAGAAGGGCUUUCCCUCGAAAGACUACGCAUGUAAAAAGAGUUGGGGCAUCUUUAUUCUCUCUCUAUAUUAUUUUAAACAUUUUUAUAGAUUAUAUUAUGAUUGUUUAAAACUGAGAAAUGCUAAAAUAUAAAAUGACAUUUUUCUUGAAAAUAAAGAUAUUUCGGCCAGUAAAUCUUAUUAUUUCGACAAAACGUUUUGUCGAAACGUCGAGGUGAUAAAAAGAUUUACUGGCCGAAAUAUCUUUAUUUUCAAGAAAUAUGAAUGCCGGCCAGGCAGCCUCUACGAUAAAAUGACAUGUUAAGAAAAGAAAUAUCUCAAAUUCUAUAUAGAAAAAGAAUGUUUUAAAUUCAGCAACCAAAAUUCCUCUCACUUUCCUAAUAAAAUUAUUCAUAAAUCCAUAUAGGUAAACUAGUAUAACUAUCAAAUAAAAUUGUCUAUUUAUAUAAAGCGCUUUCAAAUAGAGGAAAACUUAUUCUUUCUUGAUAAAAAUAACCAAAAUUUAUAACGAUGAUUAUUGCUAGGCUAUCUCACAAAAAAGGUAAAGUGUUAUAGGCCAAUAAAAUGGUAUUAUCUAUUUAUUGGAUUAUAAACGAACUAAUCAAUCUUUGGACCCAAACCUUUUUCCUUUCAUACACAACAGGCCGUUUCUCAAGCCUUAUUUUAUACAAUAGGUUAAAAUAGCUUUUUUUAAAGCUUGAGUCAAACUUUUCUCCAGUACCUCCAGAAAUGUAAUGCAUGCAGAUGAUAAAUAAGUGAAGAGAAGGAUAAUUGAAGUAGGUUUGUGUCCUGGUUUUCAGGAGAAAAAAAAAAGAUAAAAUCUCCAGAAAGCGGUUUUAGAGUGAUGGAUGAAUGCGGUAAAAGGUAGGUGAUGCGGAAAGGGUUUUAUAAAGAAGAAAAAAAGGUCCAAAUAGGGUGAGGGAGGACAAAAAUGCUGUGGAAAUCUGGUGUUAAAAGGCCGCUGGAAUGUUUGCCAAAACUAUUUCGGGAAGUCUUCGAAAUAUUGAUUUUUUUUUCAUUUCUUCUAAAAGUGCUCUCUGCAGACAAUUGCUUGGAACUUCAAAAUGCCAUUUUAAAUUUGGGAGUUGUUCCAGCUGCAGGAGAGAGGUCGUAUGUUGGAUUGUCAGAGCGUGCAUUUUCUUGAGAUAUCUGAAGUGUAGAUCAUGGCCAUGAUAAUCUUUAUGAUGAAUUAGUUUCAUAUUGCAAGUCCACCAACACAUAUCUAGACAUGUAGAAAACAUGUUCGCUAGGGGUAAAGAUUAUAAUCAUGAUAGGUCAGGGGUGGGCAACCUUUUGAUUCGGAAGAGUCAAAACUUACAAUUUACAAAAUUUUUAAAGAGCCACAAAAUGUUUUCUUGCCAACAAUAAAUGGUACUCGCAUAAAUAAUAUUCACGUAUGGAACUAUAUAAAAAGCCGCAGCUUCACAUCCAAAGAGUAGCAUGUGACUCGCGAGCCGCAGGUUACCGACCCCUAUGAUAGGUAGCUAAUGUCUUACUGUACAUGCAUCACCGCGUGUCUAUACAUGUAGAAAACCUUUGUUAGGCAGAAUUUACUUGAGUUAUCUGAUCAUGACCAUGAAAAUCUUGAUGAGGAAUUAGUCUCUUAUUGUAAGUUCACCACCACAUGUCUACACAUGUGGAAAACAUGUUCGCCGGACAAAGUGUAUUAACUUGUUAUCUUAAGUACACUGAGAAAUUCUAAUCAUGAUAGGUAAAUUAAGGUCUUACUGUAGGUACAUCACCACAUGUCUACACAUAUAUAAAUCGUAUUUGUUUAGUCAGUAUUUACUUAAAAUAUCUGAAGUAUAAUCAGGACCAUGUGAUAAUCAUGUUGAAGAUUUACCCCUUUAUUGUAUGUGCAUCACUACACUUUUAAACAUAUAGAAAACAUGUUCACUGUGCAGGGAGCGUUGACUUGUAUUAUCCCAAGUAUACAUGGUCAUGUAUAUUCAAAUAUUAAUUAUUCAAUAUCUAGACCAAACCGCUUAUUCUAAAUUGUCCCUUUAUCCAAUGGUUAGAUUGAUGACAGAUUAAAAGUGCUAUUUUUAAAAGGAUGAUUACUCCAUAAGUUACCUACAGCUCAACUAUAGAAAUUAUAUAUGUAGAAGUUAUAUAUGUAUGUGUGUGUUAUGUGUCUGUGUGUGGUGUUUGCGUUGUGUGUACGUAUGUGUGUUUGUGUGUAUGCGUGUCUGUGUUGUGCGUGCGUUUUUGUAUGCGUGUGUGCGUGCGUGUAAGUGGGCGUGCGUGUGAUGCGUAUGAGUGAGCGUGCGUGUGUUAUAUGUGUGUUGUGCGUGCGUGUUUGUGUGAGUGAGCGUGUGUGUUUUAUGCCUGUGUGCGUGCGUGUGGUGAGUGUGAGUGAGCGUGCGGGUGUUGUGCGUUUGCUGUGCGUGUAUGAUUGUGUAGGGGCGUAUGUGUAUGUGUGGAAAAGGCUUUAGAUAAAUAGACCACACUCUAUAUGUGAGAAUAUCUAAUGUAGUAUUUCUUAAAGAGUGAUAACACAAAGAGAUACGUAAGCGCUGAAUAACAAUGUCAAAGUGCUAAACUACUACUGUUUCAAGUAAGCAUUAAUAUUUUAAAUUAAAAAUUUAUAUACACGUACAAAUGAUAAUUAUAUAUAUAAUAAUUUAGUUUUAUGUAAUCUUUCUAUAUAACUAAAAUAUAAUUAUAUUAUCUCUACAAUAUCUGUUGAAAUAGAUCAAACAAAAAUCUAUAUAGAAAGAAGCUUCAAAAAUCAAUUCUUAAUCUUCAACAAGAAUAGAUAAAAAGAAAUCAGCCACCAAAAACAUCUCAGGAAUUCUAAACGACCGGGGAUUGGGAGCGGAGAGUGAGUGAUACGAGUAAAAAUAAAUUUUUAAAAAAGCUUUUUACACCGGAGAGGUCAGUGGUAGUUAAUUGAUCCGGGGCGCAGCUAAAAAGACGGAAAUGGACCGAUGAUUAAUUAUCAUUCUUCAUUUCAUCUAUGAUGAUGAUAAUGGAACGGUGAUAAAUUGGCACGAGCGGGAAAUGGAUAGGCCCCAGUGGAUCUCUCCCGCCCCUGUCCAUUAUAAAUACUUUCUUUUAAACUUUUCUCGACCGAAUUAGAGCAUAUCGAUCCAUGGAACAGGAUCUAUCCUAACCACUCGUAGCCUCCCCUAGACCAGAGAUAUCGGCAUCAGUCCUAACACCACAGCAUUAGGUGAGUGCCGCUAUCACCCAGCUUCCACCCGACAUGUAAGGCUGGCUCUUCGGGAAAGACCUGGAUGACGACGCCAUUAUAGUGUCAACCAAAACAUGUAUUCACAGGUUCAUCCUGAACUUAGUGGUAAGUGUAGAACCCCCUUGAGCCACGUGUGUGUGUGUACGUAUGUAUGUGCGUGCAUGUGUGUAUAUGUGUUGGAAUAUAUAUGUGAGUGUGUGUAUAUUUGUUUGUAUAUGUAGGCCUGUGUGUAUAUAUGAAUGUGCGUAUAUGUGUCCGUGCGUGUAUGUGUCUAUGCAUGUGUGUAUAUAUGUGUGUGUGUUUAUAUGUGGGCUUGUGUGUGCGAGCGUGUGUAUGCUAAAAUUCUCUGAAUCGUUUCAAUUUCCUUAGUUGAACGAAGAAUAACCACUCGACGUUUUUACCCAAAUAAAACAGUAGGUUGUUCUGGAGAGUGUAUCUUUUUAUUGGCGGGAAAGAUUUUGUUGGUCUCUCGUACCAAGAAGCCGUUUGUAUUCGUUGUCUAUUCCACAGAUGGUAGGGAAACUAAACAUGAAUUGGUGGACGAAUACAUUUAUAAUUUGGGAAUAAUAUAUAGUGAUAUGAAUUGUAAGGAAUACAACAUAAGAGACUUACUUCUAUCUACCGCCUUCAGAAGGAUCCUCGGCGCCGUGAAUAUCACUCUUAAGAAGCGUCCCGCUCCACACACAGUCUACUUCCGACCUGUACGACCCCGAUUUGUAGGCUGAUCCGCUGCCCACCGACAUAUUCGUUUACUUCCCACAGAGCAAUCACUCUGACAGCCCGGAACACCUUCGCGGUCAGGCCGACAGCUGUUAUCUACCGUGCAGUGUCCGGGAUCUUCCUGAGGACUCCUUGCUGUCGAACUCCUUUCCUCAUUUUAACUUUUUUCUUUCUUGAGCCCGCGGUCAUUCCUUCACGCUUCGGUUGCCUUUUGUUCUGCCCCUGGCUUAUUCCAUCCUGCCGCGGUGCCAUUUGCCAUUAUCUUGAAUCGUGAGAUAAGAGAGUCAGAUGUCACAAUAUCCUUCGCCCAAAAUCUUACAAUCUUUAUUUUAAUUUACAUAUAUGUGCCGCCUAACAAGCGUGUACACGAUCAAGGACAUGGUUCAUCAGUUGAAAACCCUUCAGGAGGUUUCGCCAAUUUAAUAUCAAAAUACUACCGGUUGAUUUAAAAUGGUGAUGUUUGAACUCUUAGAUGAUUGGCGAAAUGAUGAACAUUCGUCAUGUACAUGACUCGGUAUGGCCAAAAUUUCACAGGAAUAAAUAUAUCUUCAGCAUUUAGUGUUCCAAUUUUAGUAUAUGUGUACCGCCGAACAUUCAGCAUUUAGUGGAUUUCUAAGGUUAUCAAACGUCACAAAUGAACUUGUAAACCUUCAAAAAAAGGUAGACAUCUUAUUUUCCCAAAGUAAACAUUUCAAAGUGAGAGAAGUUUGUUCUUCAAGAACACACACACUUCAAAUAUAUGUCAUAAUUUGUCUAAUGCCCAAUAUGUAUAAUUUAUUUUUGCCAUAAUUAGAAUGUUAAAAUGUAAAUACAAAUUAUUCCAUCUAUAAAUCUGUACAAAAUAAACGUGGGAGCCAGCGUGCGCUGGCGAACACUACGGCACACCGCCGCGUGCGCGCGCGCUCACGAGUGUGGAAUAAGUUAUUUUUUCGAAGCAUACAUACACAACGGCUGCGCCCUUCCAUUCGACCACGACAGCUACGACAUAUAUAUAUUCUUUAUAUAUCGAAAUGGUGCGAUUUUUAAAAAUCCUUUACACAACUUUGUUUUUUUCAAAGAGAAAUGCUUUUUAAAGACAAAACUCAUCAUAUUCUUUAUUAAAUUUUCCUAUUUAUCUAAUCAAAUAUUUCUCAUUUUCUAUCAUAUUUUGUUCUUUAACCCUAGAACAGUAACGAAAAAAAAAGGCAACAAGAAUAUUUUUUACGAUAUUCAAGGUCAUUUAUAAACGACCUUGUCAGUUAUAUAAGCCAGUUAUAUAUAUGACCUUGGAUAUAUGACCUUAGAAUUAUCUUGACAUAGAGGCGUGAGGACUUUGUAUCAAAGAUAUUUUUAAGAAAAAUACUUAUCAGAAUAUUUUUUGAGGUAAAUAUUUACAAUUAUUUACUUUUCGAUCUUCGUAUCAAUGUAUUAGUUUAUUUAUAAAUAAAAUCAAAUAUUUGUUUCCUAUUUGUCAAAGGUUUCUUUGGUUCAUCAAAUAUUCAACAAACCCACACACGAACUUUUUAAAAAUUCUAUAAAUAUUUAAAUUUUAUUUUAAAGUAUUUUCUUUUGGUUAUAUAUUUUUUAAAUUAAAUUUAAAGUGUUGAGAAUAUGAAAAUAUAUAAAAUUAACAGAAUAAUAAUACCGUUAAGAGAAUUUCAAAAUUUAUAAAAUUUGUUAUUUAGUUUAAACAUGUGAGGUUUGUUUUUCAUAUAUGUAAUAAAUAAAUAGUUAGCAUAUAGUAGUAUAAAGGGGGGAAAAGUAACACCAGCAAAACAUUGGUGGUGAAGCGUCAUAGGCUAGGUAAAAAAAAAGAGAGAAUUAACAGAAUGUAUAUAUAAAAUUUCUAUGUAAAUAAAAUUGUAAGUAAAAUAUAUUAAGGGGCAUUGAGAAUAUACAUCGAAAUUACGAACACACAGAAUUGAUUUUUUAUUUUUCUAAUUACAAUUUUGACCUAUGUAUUAGAAAUAUUUAUAUCAUGAGCUUAUUACAUGGUAAUAAAAAUGAAGAUUGUCUUUAUUUUAAGACAAACAUUCAAUUGAUGAUCAAAAGGUCAAAUUGAAUAUCAAAAAGGUAUAUAAAUAUGAUCGAAAUAUGACCUUAUACAUUUGUGUGUGUGGCAAUAUAUAUUAAUUUAUAAAUUCAAUUGCCAUCUAUUCUUAAAAUUUGUAACAAUUAAAUUUUUCUGGCAAUAUGUUUUUCUUUUUUAAUUAUAUCAUCAAAUAUUAUCUCUACAGAACUUACUGCAUUGAUAAAGUUUAUUGAAUGAAAGGGCUUGCCCUAUCAGUGGUGAAUCCUCUCAGUGGUUAAUUUGACUAAACCGUUGAGAAAGUUCACCACUGAUGAGCCAAGCACUCUGAUUCAUUAACUUUUAUCAAUGCAGUAAGGUCUGUAGAUAUUAUGUUUAAUGAUAUAAUUACAAGAAAACACAUUUCCAGAAAAAUUAAUUGUUACAAAUAUAUAUUUAUGUUUAUAGUAGGUCAUUCAGAAAAUUCUACGGUUUUUCGCAAAAUCUAAAAUAGAAUUUUGAGAACGUUACAAACCUUUUUCAUUUCGGCAAGAGCUUCCUUCCAUUGGAGAGAUGCCAAUAUCUUUAAUAAUAAAAUCACGAUGUUGGAACUUCCCAAACCAUCUACAAACAAUUUCAUUAUAUAAACAACACUUUGUCUAUACAUUGCACAAUUUUUACGGGCUGUUUUGAAUUCUCAUUCCUUCAAAUCUUGUAAUAAUAAAAAGUAUUCUAUUGCGAAAAAAAAUGCAUCUGGUUCUUCAUCUUCAUCCUGGCACGGUAUUGAACCUAAUGCACCAUAUAUUAACAGAAAUUUGAAGAUUAUUUGAUAUAUUAUUAGACCAGUAAGCAAUGUAUUUUUCUUGAAGAUCUCUCUCAACUAUAGACUAGAGUCCGAUUUGGUCUUGAUUUUAAAAACCAGAUAAUCAUCUCAAAUGGCCCAAAAUAUUAUGGAUUUCUUCAAGCAUAAACAUAUUUGAGUUAGGUUUGAUAUAAUGAUGCUUUAGACAAUAUCCAAAAUACUCUGAAAAUGUGUGAUUGAAAUUUAUGAUCCUGAAGAUAGAGGCAGCCUGGCCGGCAUUUCUAUUUCUAUGAAAGAUAGACAUUUCGACCAGUUAGAGUUUUUUAAUUUUCUCAACGUUUCGGCAAAAAUAUUUUGUCUUCGUCGGGAGAAGUAAAUAAAAAUAAAGCAUUUGGCAAGGCGUUAAAAAUUGUUAUUUUUUUAGAACAAUUUUUAACGCCUUGCCAAAGCUUUAUUUUUAUUUACUUACAUUUACUACAAAAAUCUUUUGUCGAAACGUUGAGAAAAUAAAAAACUCUAACUGGCCGAAGUGUCUAUUUUUCAUAGAAAUAGGAAAUAAAAUUUAUGAAUUAUUUUUAAAAUAAAAUGAUUCUGGAAGGAGAAAAGAGAUUAGAAAUAGCGUAGCCAAGAAUGAUCCCAUUGUUACAAUUGACUAUUGCUCUGUGUAAGGAAAUACUUUGACUACUGACUGAGAUGAACGUGAGAAAGAUAUUUUCUAAGGCUCUGCUUAGUGUACUUUGUAGUUGCGAUGUUACUUUUCAGUUUUUUUAGUGGCGUACCCGCUGUUGUGUUUGUUGCCAGCAGUAGUUAGCAGUAUUGAGAGACUGGUUGGCUUGGUUUGGUCUUGUUCCAUUUUGUAUUAUAAAUAUGGAGAUGAUAUUGGGUACGUUUAGUGUCUUCGCGGCAUUUUGCUGUAUGGGUGUGCGAGGGUGAGAGAUCUCUAUAGGGCCCUUUAAGUGUGUUUUAUUGUGAAUUAUUAAAGAUCGGUAUAUUUACUACAAAUUUCUAUUGCAUUGCCACGAUUUUCUUUCAAAAUUAUCAUUUUAAAGAUUUUUUUUUCAAAAUUCAUCUUCCUCAAUAGCCAACCUCAUUUCGUUUCUGAUGACCAUGAUCCCUCACUGGAGCUGAUGCCAAGCAGUCUGUCCUUAUGAUGCUCCUCGGACCCCUGGGUCCCUUGAAGACAAGUUAUUUCCUAGUCCUUUGAUUAUCUUGAAAUGAAGUCUUAUUUCUGCCUAGCGAAAACUCUGAGGUAAUCCCUUGUAUCGCCUGCAGGGUAUCCUAAACAAUAUAUUGUUCUAACAAUAGUCAUGGGGUCGUAAUUUACCCGUUGGCGAUCUUGAAACAGUUGGUUAUCCUAGCCAUUUAGCCCUUUUUGGAUCAAGUUUCUCCCUUGAUAUCGAAGAACCAUCAACUCAAUGUUUUUAUUCACCGGCUGAAAACCUUCUUCACGUUUAACUCCGGCCUACUGAUGUAUCACAAGAUGGAUUGAAGCUGAAUUUCUUGAAUCAGCACUGAAAAAUCUGAACCCUUACACCCUGCUCACGUUCAUCCUUCCAUCGUCUCUAUAAAAAGCCACUUAUUCUCACAUAUGACUUCAGUGCCUGGCCUAUUUUUCCUACAAGCUCGUUUCAAAUGGACCAAGUCGAGACAUGGCCAUUCUCCUUUCAAUCCUCUUCAAUAUCUUCCUUCUCUAGACAGAUCAUUCGACAGAGGAGAAUUAAUAUAAUUUAUUGUAAUACCAGUUUCCUAUAGAAGUCCAUUAGGACUCGUAUACAUUUACCUUUAGUUAGUUCUGUAUGACAGCAAAAGAGAUCGAAUAGAUAGGAUAUAUAAUGGAUUGUGGACUAUC